CAGAACUCUGGAAUUCUGUAGACUCAGUAUUCUAAACACUGAGGGGCUCCUCAGAGCCAAUUCUAAUAAUUGAGUAGGUCAGGUUGACCGCUACCUGUGAGGUUUAAGACCUACUUGCUGUGUGCUCCCUCCACCCCCAACACAAUGCCCAUCCCUUGGCUACAUUUCCAGAAAUUCCAGGGUUAAGAAUUCUAAUAGACUGGCCUCAGGAGAAGAAAACAGAAAAAGGUGAUUAGUCGUGGAGCUGCUGGUGAGAGAGAGGACUAAGGAAUACACCCAGAGCCCCAGAAUGAAGCUAACAAGAAAACUGACUGAAAUGCUCCAAGUAGGAGAGUGAGUCAUAGCAGCUCUGGAUCAGUAACCCAGGUAGCGGGAAGAGGCAAAGUGGAGAAGAGGAUUCAUUCUAAACUUAAGGGUAGCAUGUGGGGAGCCACUUGAGGUCCUUGCUUGCUCUGCUGUUAAAGGGGGACUGUAAAUAUGUCCUAUGAGAGGCUGCAUGCAUGCUUGUAAACAUUCUUUUCUGUAAGUGAUUACGACAACCAUAAGAAAUAGGAAGUCAGUAGGUGACUUAUGUUAUUUGUACAUUACAAGGAUAAUUGUACUAUAGUUAAUACAACACUGAAGAACAAUGUAAAAUAUAUUUUUGCUUGUUCUCACAUCUGUGCUAGUGAAAGAGGUAAUAUGAGGAAAAUGAACGAGAGCAAUUGAGUAAAACUACUGUCUUCUUGGGCCUUUGAGUGGGCACACGUUUCUUUGUCUGCCCAGCAUCCUUUUGGGGGAACACAUCUUCCACCCUCAUUCUAAAGUACUCCCAAUCAGCUGGUUUGGCCCAAGGAGGGGUAUGUGAUCCAGGCUCAGUCAAUCAGAGGAUUUUAUCUUCUUAGUCACAGUGAUUAGUUGAUGAAAGAGUAUGUGAUAGAAGUUGGACCAGUCAGAAGUCUCUCUGGAUAUUUUAUCAGCUAUCCAGAAAAAUACCCUUUCUCUAGGAUCAUAGGCUCUAAGAACUCUGGAGGUUGGGGGCAGCCAGAGUCCAUCUUCCUGCCACGUGGAGUCAACUUGAAGAUGAAGCCAAGCAGAGGCACGCAGUGUGUAGAGAGUGGGGAAGAGAGGCCCUAACUGAUACUGUAUCCAUUCUAAGGGAUCCUUGUGUGGAUGUGCCUGAGUAGCAGGGCAGGUUUCUACCAGCCUCUGAGAAUGGGGCAGUCAGGGCUGUGACUCACCCUGGAACCAGCUGUCCUUGUCAAGAGGGGCCAAGCUCUCCCGGGAAACUUACAGUGGAAGGAGACUGACGACAGCAAAUAGCCAGCUGGGCCUACUUGUAGGUACUGGCCUUUGGGUGACUUCAAGAUUAGUUUAUAGCUGCCCGCUCUCCCCAGAGCCUUCCUGUGUCCCCCACUGCCUCAGGUCAACCUGAGUUACCCAAUUCAUCUGGUGAAAAGAGUGAAGAAGAAGUAGGAAGACUGAGAUAGCGUCCAAGUCCAACAGAAUUCGUUUUCUUGUCUUUCUCACGCAUCUGAUCUUAAGAAGCUUGAAGGCAGGGCCCGUGUCUCCCGCUAUAGGACCUUCAGCCCCAGAACUCGGUGCCACAUGUCCUGAUGCUGGCGCUGGUUUGGGGCCACCAGGAGAAGAGCGGAAGUCUCGUGCCCAACCCCCCGCCCUCCAAUCACUGAGACAACACCAGCAGCCACUUACCUGGAGAUGCGCUGUUAGAGGAGAGAAAAUGAAAGCCACGCUCUGUGCCGUCGGUUUCUGUUCCAGCUGAUGGAAAUCCCUGACUGAUGAAUGAAAACUAGAGGAAAAGCUCCAAGAGAACAGAACCGGGAGAGACGCUUUCCCCCCUCUCGAGGAGCACGGGGCGAUGCGUCUGGCCUGGGUUCGAGGUGCAAACCUGUUAUCUCGUUCUGUGCCCCUGAGCCAGUCACUCUGCCCCCCAAGGCCCACUGUCAAGGCAGGACCACCGCGCUCUGACUCCCCCAUGCCCACAACUGUCGUGAUGUCCUCCUGCUGUGCCGUGGGCCCCAGGACCCAGCUCAAAGUCUGAUGACACGCGGCCAAUCCCUCUGCAGCGAGGCCUUUGGAAAUCGCAGUGUCCCCGGGAAGAGCCUCAGACACCUGCUGUGUCAUUUCCAAGACCGUCUUCUCCAGAAGUGCAUCCAUCCAGUGUGUGUUCUUUACGUCUGGCUUUCGUUCUUUAUGUUGGUUUUGACCAGCGUGAUGUUUGCGAGACGCGGUCACAUUGCACACGGCUGUCGUUAAUUCAGCGUAUAGCGUCGUACUGUGUGAAUAAUCA
This is a long non-coding RNA of Equus caballus (horse), 2290 nucleotides long. The record is from Ensembl. Lineage: Eukaryota; Metazoa; Chordata; Mammalia; Perissodactyla; Equidae.